This 253-nucleotide ribosomal RNA is filed under the name uncultured bacterium. RNAcentral's name for it is "partial 16S ribosomal RNA". It matches the Rfam family "Bacterial small subunit ribosomal RNA", at positions 524 to 776 of the family's 1533-position model. The record is from RNAcentral.
UACGAAGGGUGCAAACGUUGCUCGGAAUUAUUGGGCGUAAAGCGCGCGCAGGCGGUCCUUUAAGUCUGAUGUGAAAGCCCACGGCUCAACCGUGGAGGGUCAUUGGAAACUGGGGGACUUGAGUACAGAAGAGAAGAGUGGAAUUCCACGUGUAGCGGUGAAAUGCGUAGAGAUGUGGAGGAACACCAGUGGCGAAGGCGACUCUUUGGUCUGUAACUGACGCUGAGGCGCGAAAGCGUGGGGAGCAAACAGG